UACGAAGGGGGCUAGCGUUGCUCGGAAUCACUGGGCGUAAAGCGCACGUAGGCGGAUGUUUAAGUCAGGGGUGAAAGCCGGGGGCUCAACUCCAGAACUGCCCCUGAUACUGAUGAUCUUGAGUCCGGAAGAGGUUGGUGGAACUCUGAGUGUAGAGGUGAAGUUCGUAGAUAUUCGGAAGAACACCAGUGGCGAAGGCGGCCAACUGGUCAGGUACUGACGCUGAGGUGCGAAAGCGUGGGGAGCAAACAUG
RNAcentral lists this ribosomal RNA (253 nucleotides) under uncultured bacterium. RNAcentral describes it as "partial 16S ribosomal RNA". It matches the Rfam family "Bacterial small subunit ribosomal RNA", at positions 524 to 776 of the family's 1533-position model. The record is from RNAcentral.